GCGGCGGACGGGUGAGUAACACGUGGGCAACCUGCCCUAUAGUUGGGGAUAACUCCGGGAAACCGGAGCUAAUACCGAAUGAUACAUUUAAGCUCCUGCUUGAAUAUUGAAAGAUGGUUUCGGCUAUCGCUAUAGGAUGGGCCCGCGGCGCAUUAGCUAGUUGGUGAGGUAACGGCUCACCAAGGCGACGAUGCGUAGCCGACCUGAGAGGGUGAUCGGCCACACUGGGACUGAGACACGGCCCAGACUCCUACGGGAGGCAGCAGUAGGGAAUCUCCCACAAUGGACGAAAGUCUGAUGGAGCAACGCCGCGUGAGUGAAGAAGGUUUUCGGAUCGUAAAACUCUGUUGUAAGGGAAGAACAAGUGCAGUAGUAACUGGCUGCACCUUGACGGUACCUUAUUAGAAAGCCACGGCUAACUACGUGCCAGCAGCCGCGGUAAUACGUAGGUGGCAAGCGUUGUCCGGAUUUAUUGGGCGUAAAGCGCGCGCAGGCGGUCCUUUAAGUCUGAUGUGAAAGCCCACGGCUCAACCGUGGAGGGUCAUUGGAAACUGGAGGACUUGAGUGCAGAAGAGGAAAGUGGAAUUCCAAGUGUAGCGGUGAAAUGCGUAGAGAUUUGGAGGAACACCAGUGGCGAAGGCGACUUUCU
This 649-nucleotide ribosomal RNA is filed under the name uncultured Bacillaceae bacterium. RNAcentral describes it as "bacterial SSU rRNA". It matches the Rfam family "Bacterial small subunit ribosomal RNA", at positions 95 to 730 of the family's 1533-position model. The record is from RNAcentral. Lineage: Bacteria; Bacillati; Bacillota; Bacilli; Caryophanales; Bacillaceae.